UGUUUCUCUACCUUUUCUAGAGGAGGACUCUGAAAUGUUGGGUCUGCUGAAGUCUCCCUGAGAAAUGGUGUUUAAAGAGCCUCUGAGGAGGAGGAAAGACUGUGAAUUUGAAGAAGGACUGGGAGAAGGAGUCUGAGAAAAACGGAGCAUUAUGUCCAAGAGUGCUGGGGAGAAGAGAGCAGCUGCUGAGACCAGGAGGAUCAUAGAAAAGCCAAUCACCAAGGAGUUGGAUGCUGAAUGUGAUAGAGGAAAGUUUUUCCAGAUGAAGUCCAACUCUAGCUCUCAGAUCUGAUCAUCUUCUGCCCUCAAAAAGUUGCUGAAAUGCUGACCUACAACUAUUUACACUAAACCCAGAAAGACUUCAAAUUGCAGAGAAAAUACUGGAAGCAUUCUUUAGUCCUACUGAAUGGUGAGGGGAAUACAGAAUGUGGAAUUAAGAUCAUGCCUGUGUCUUUUCAAUCCUUAUUAUUAUAUAAAGAGCAGUCAAAGCUUUAAAGAAGUCAAAGAACAAUAGCCUCACACCUAGUAUUUAAUAAAAAC
Long non-coding RNA from Bos indicus x Bos taurus (hybrid cattle), 540 nucleotides. The record is from Ensembl. NCBI's taxonomy places the organism in Eukaryota, Metazoa, Chordata, Mammalia, Artiodactyla, Bovidae.